Molecule: ribosomal RNA, 433 nt
Filed under: uncultured bacterium
Lineage: Bacteria
Description: partial 16S ribosomal RNA
Rfam family: Bacterial small subunit ribosomal RNA
Source: RNAcentral
AGCGAACGCUGGCGGCAGGCUUAACACAUGCAAGUCGAACGGGCACUUCGGUGCUAGUGGCAGACGGGUGAGUAACACGUGGGAACGUACCUUUCGGUUCGGAAUAAUCCAGGGAAACUUGGACUAAUACCGGAUACGCCCUUCGGGGGAAAGAUUCAUCGCCGAUAGAUGGGCCCGCGUCUGAUUAGCUAGUUGGUGAGGUAAUGGCUCACUAAGGCGACGAUCAGUAGCUGGUCUGAGAGGAUGAUCAGCCACAUUGGGACUGAGACACGGCCCAAACUCCUACGGGAGGCAGCAGUGGGGAAUAGUGGACAAUGGGCGCAAGCCUGAUCCAGCCAUGCCGCGUGAGUGAUGAAGGCCUUAGGGUUGUAAAGCUCUUUUGUCCGGGAAGAUAAUGACUGUACCGGAAGAAUAAGCCCCGGCUAACUUCGUG